GAUGAACGCUGGCGGCGUGCCUAAUACAUGCAAGUCGAGCGAACAGACGAGGAGCUUGCUCCUCUGACGUUAGCGGCGGACGGGUGAGUAACACGUGGAUAACCUACCUAUAAGACUGGGAUAACUUCGGGAAACCGGAGCUAAUACCGGAUAAUAUAUUGAACCGCAUGGUUCAAUAGUGAAAGACGGUUUUGCUGUCACUUAUAGAUGGAUCCGCGCCGCAUUAGCUAGUUGGUAAGGUAACGGCUUACCAAGGCAACGAUGCGUAGCCGACCUGAGAGGGAGACCUGCCACGCUGGAACUGAGACACGGUCCAGACUCCUACGGGAGGCAGCAGUAGGGAAUCUUCCGCAAUGGGCGAAAGCCUGACGGAGCAACGCCGCGUGAGUGAUGAAGGUCUUCGGAUCGUAAAACUCUGUUAUUAGGGAAGAACAAAUGUGUAAGUAACUAUGCACGUCUUGACGGUACCUAAUCAGAAAGCCACGGCUAACUACGUG
Molecule: ribosomal RNA, 497 nt
Filed under: uncultured bacterium
Lineage: Bacteria
Description: partial 16S ribosomal RNA
Rfam family: Bacterial small subunit ribosomal RNA
Source: RNAcentral